This 454-nucleotide ribosomal RNA is filed under the name uncultured bacterium. RNAcentral describes it as "bacterial SSU rRNA". It matches the Rfam family "Bacterial small subunit ribosomal RNA", at positions 340 to 786 of the family's 1533-position model. The record is from RNAcentral.
UACGGAAGGCAGCAGUGGGGAAUAUUGCACAAUGGGCGCAAGCCUGAUGCAGCCAUGCCGCGUGUAUGAAGAAGGCCUUCGGGUUGUAAAGUACUUUCAGUCGUGAGGAAGGUGUUAAGGUUAAUAACCUUAGCAAUUGACGUUAGCGACAGAAGAAGCACCGGCUAACUCCGUGCCAGCAGCCGCGGUAAUACGGAGGGUGCGAGCGUUAAUCGGAAUUACUGGGCGUAAAGGGCACGCAGGCGGUUAAUUAAGUUGGAUGUGAAAUCCCCGGGCUUAACCUGGGAAUGGCAUUCAAGACUGGUUAGCUAGAGUCUUGUAGAGGGGGUAGAAUUCCAUGUGUAGCGGUGAAAUGCGUAGAGAUGUGGAGGAUACCGGGUGGCGAAGGCGGCCCCUGGGACAAAGACUGACGCUCAUGUGCGAAAGCGUGGGGAGCAAACAGGGAUUAGAUACC